ACUCGAACCUGAGACAACAGCUCUGCUAAGUGCCCUUGAGAGGGUACAGUGGGGUCAGCAACAAAGCCAGACCACUAAAGAGAAAAAGAAAUAAAGGGAGGAUUGGUGAGGAGAAAUGAGAAUGAUGGGAAAAAAAAUAAUUUUUUAAACCAAAAAAGAAUCAGAGAAGAGCAGAAGUGCCUCUAGGAUAAAGCUUGGCAGGCAGUUAGGGGAAAAGGGUUGUUAACCUCUUUGAAACUCUGACUACAUUAGAAGCCUCGCAAGACAGUCGUCGCUGACACGGGCAGGGAGAGAAACGAUUCUGUCUAUUGUUCUUCUGAAUUAUAAAUCACUGACCUAUUGAUGAUUUCUAAAGGGAAAAUGACUUCAAGCUUCUUAGAGUUCCCCCAAAGCAUUCUCUAUACCCAGUAUAACACGGGAAGCGCUGCAUUUGUCUUUGGGCAUUUUAUUUGCCAUGCCCUGAAAUCUUCCAUCACCCUCUUGCUAGUAAGGGGCAGUCAGCAACAAGAAUGAGUGGAAGAGGGAGAAACCCAGAAUAUGAUGAGGACAGCAUUUCAACCAUCAGACUGUGUGUUGUGUGAUAUCAAAAGACUCUGACAAUGUUCUAGAGGAAAAGCAGCUGUGAAGUCAUAAUUAUGUUCACUUCCCACUGGCAACUAGCAAGUCCUUUAUUUUUGUGCAUUUGCAACUCACCAAGAAUAAAUAAAGUCCAUUUCCUCCUUGA
Carlito syrichta (Philippine tarsier) is the source of this 724-nucleotide long non-coding RNA. RefSeq lists it as uncharacterized. The record is from RefSeq and is a predicted model, not a curated record. The transcript is spliced from 2 exons. Lineage: Eukaryota; Metazoa; Chordata; Mammalia; Primates; Tarsiidae.